Molecule: ribosomal RNA, 253 nt
Filed under: uncultured bacterium
Lineage: Bacteria
Description: partial 16S ribosomal RNA
Rfam family: Bacterial small subunit ribosomal RNA
Source: RNAcentral
UACGUAGGGGGCAAGCGUUGUCCGGAAUCAUUGGGCGUAAAGAGCGUGUAGGCGGCCUGAUAAGUCGGCUGUGAAAGUCAAGGGCUCAACCCUUGAAUGCCGGCCGAUACUGUCAGGCUAGAAUCCGGAAGAGGCGAGUGGAGUUCCUGGUGUAGCGGUGAAAUGCGCAGAUAUCAGGAGGAACACCUAUGGCGAAGGCAGCUCGCUGGGACGGUAUUGACGCUGAGACGCGAAAGCGUGGGGAGCGAACAGG